AGAACGAUUCGAUAGCUGUCUUGCACACACAUCAUGGUAAAAUAUUCAUCAGUACAAAGAAUAUGCUGGUGAGCUAAGACCACACUAAAGGACAAAAAGACCCUCUGAAGCUUUAUAGGGAUAAAAUCUAGUACACAUCCAGGCGUUUGUAUACAAGGUGAUGGCCCCAAGAAGCGAGACGAUGACGAUAAAGAGCCAGAAGAUGCAGCGUGGUAAACACAAGACUGUUUAAUUGGGGCGAUAAGCUUAUCUAAUCCACCUAAGGUGAACAAAGCCAUCCAAUGAGCCCAACUAAUAAGUGCAAAGAUACAUGUUUCGCUUAAUGGCCCAAGAAGUCCUUCCCAGUAUUUAAAUGCUAUCUUAAUGAGCUUAAAAUUAAUCUACCAACACCAAGCUACUCUACGGAUAACAGGCUUAAUUUCGGCAAUACGAAAGCUCACAUUAUCAAGAAAA
RNAcentral lists this ribosomal RNA (453 nucleotides) under Symbiodinium sp. Midi11_Pool300 clade A. RNAcentral describes it as "partial 23S ribosomal RNA". The record is from RNAcentral. Lineage: Eukaryota; Dinophyceae; Suessiales; Symbiodiniaceae.